RNAcentral lists this ribosomal RNA (291 nucleotides) under Triticum aestivum (bread wheat). Its description in RNAcentral is "partial small subunit ribosomal RNA". Lineage: Eukaryota; Viridiplantae; Streptophyta; Magnoliopsida; Poales; Poaceae. The record is from RNAcentral.
AUGGAGGCCGCACGCGAGGAGGACGGCGGCGGCCGCGGCGACGACAAGCUGCCGCAGGUGGUGUUCGACCGCAUCCUUCGGCGUCAGGUGGUGUACGACGCGCUCAAGCACGGGGGCAGGCACAUUGGCGCUCGGCACCGCCUACUGCUCCUUGUCACCGCCGCACAGAUGCAGCAGCUCCCCACAGCCGCACAGAUCCGGCAGCUUCUCACCGCCACAGAUCCUCUUCCUGCAGCUCCUCCUACUCCAGCAGCUCCUCCGGCGGUAAAAAUCGAAUCUUGGGACAACUAA